GCGCAGGAAGACGGCCUUCUGGGUUGUAAACUGCUUUUAUCAGGGAACAAAUAGGCCAUGCGUGGCAAGUUGAGUGUACCUGAAGAAUAAGCACCGGCUAACUCCGUGCCAGCAGCCGCGGUAAUACGGAGGGUGCAAGCGUUGUCCGGAUUUAUUGGGUUUAAAGGGUGCGUAGGUGGUUUAUUAAGUCAGUGGUGAAAGGCUACAGCU
This 210-nucleotide ribosomal RNA is filed under the name uncultured bacterium. Its description in RNAcentral is "partial 16S ribosomal RNA". It matches the Rfam family "Bacterial small subunit ribosomal RNA", at positions 401 to 609 of the family's 1533-position model. The record is from RNAcentral.